AUGGCAGGUGAUUUCAACGAGAUCUUACAUUCUCAUGAAAAAGAGGGUGGUGUCGUUCGCUCUCAAAAAUGCAUGCAAGCUUUUAGAGACGCCCUUGUUGAUUGCGGUCUGGAUGACCUUGGUUACAUCGGUGACAAAUUUUCAUGGCGGCAGGGACACACUCGAGAACGCCUAGAUCGUGCAACUAGCAAUGCUAUAUGGGCGGACAUGUUCCCGGGAUUUGGUGUGACAAACGAGGAGUUUGAUCAGUCAGAUCACCGGCCGGUCUUG
RNAcentral lists this ribosomal RNA (270 nucleotides) under Triticum aestivum (bread wheat). RNAcentral's name for it is "partial small subunit ribosomal RNA". The record is from RNAcentral. Lineage: Eukaryota; Viridiplantae; Streptophyta; Magnoliopsida; Poales; Poaceae.